UCUUUUCCCAAAUCCCUCUUUUAAACACUAGUGCCGUCUCCAACCCCAUUUACUCCCCCAUAUCUCCACUUCCCAUCCCAUUAUGUAAUUAGCCUCCAAUCUUAACCUCUAUUGCAAAUCUCUAUUUGAUACGAAAAUAUAAUUAUGGGACGCAGAAGGCUAUAUCCUUAGAUAUAUGCAAACGGAUAAAAGUAUAGACUGGUUUUGCUCAAUCAGUAAUGACGGGUCUUCAACCAUGAAGAGGUACAUGCAUGAAGGUGGAAACAAAUUCAAGAAUAACAUUACUAGAUGAGUGAAGCUACAUUAGCCAAUGAGGAAGCAACAUACUUUUUUCUUAUUAAUUUAUCAUGUUUAUGUGUUGUAAUCACUUUCAUUUUGAAUAGAUUUUUUUUUAAAAAAAAUUAAAGGAAUUUGUAAUGGAAUAUUAUCUCAAUUCAA
Long non-coding RNA from Lycium barbarum (goji berry), 438 nucleotides. RefSeq lists it as uncharacterized. NCBI's taxonomy places the organism in Eukaryota, Viridiplantae, Streptophyta, Magnoliopsida, Solanales, Solanaceae. The transcript has 3 exons. The record is from RefSeq and is a predicted model, not a curated record.